This 561-nucleotide ribosomal RNA is filed under the name uncultured bacterium. RNAcentral describes it as "bacterial SSU rRNA". It matches the Rfam family "Bacterial small subunit ribosomal RNA", at positions 338 to 916 of the family's 1533-position model. The record is from RNAcentral.
CCUACGGGAGGCAGCAGUGGGGAAUAUUGGACAAUGGGCGAAAGCCUGAUCCAGCAAUGCCGCGUGAGUGAUGAAGGCCUUAGGGUUGUAAAGCUCUUUUACCAGGGAUGAUAAUGACAGUACCUGGAGAAUAAGCUCCGGCUAACUCCGUGCCAGCAGCCGCGGUAAUACGGAGGGAGCUAGCGUUGUUCGGAAUUACUGGGCGUAAAGCGUGCGUAGGCGGCGAUUCAAGUCAGAGGUGAAAGCCUGGAGCUCAACUCCAGAACUGCCUUUGAAACUAGAUUGCUAGAAUCAUGGAGAGGUGAGUGGAAUUCCGAGUGUAGAGGUGAAAUUCGUAGAUAUUCGGAAGAACACCAGUGGCGAAGGCGGCUCACUGGACAUGUAUUGACGCUGAGGCACGAAAGCGUGGGGAGCAAACAGGAUUAGAUACCCUGGUAGUCCACGCCGUAAACGAUGAUAACUAGCUGCCAGGGCUCAUAGAGCUUUGGUGGCGCAGCUAACGCAUUAAGUUAUCCGCCUGGGGAGUACGGUCGCAAGAUUAAAACUCAAAUGAAUUGACGG